This 271-nucleotide ribosomal RNA is filed under the name Thermobifida fusca. RNAcentral's name for it is "partial 16S ribosomal RNA". It matches the Rfam family "Bacterial small subunit ribosomal RNA", at positions 1277 to 1533 of the family's 1533-position model. The record is from RNAcentral. Lineage: Bacteria; Bacillati; Actinomycetota; Actinomycetes; Streptosporangiales; Nocardiopsidaceae.
AAAAGCCGGUCUCAGUUCGGAUCGGGGUCUGCAACUCGACCCCGUGAAGUCGGAGUCGCUAGUAAUCGCAGAUCAGCAACGCUGCGGUGAAUACGUUCCCGGGCCUUGUACACACCGCCCGUCACGUCACGAAAGUCGGCAACACCCGAAGCCGGUGGCCUAACCCUUUCGGGGGGAGGGAGCCGUCGAAGGUGGGGCUGGCGAUUGGGACGAAGUCGUAACAAGGUAGCCGUACCGGAAGGUGCGGCUGGAUCACCUCCUUUCUAAGGAG